GCCUAAGGUAUCAAGCCCAAUAUCAUGAGCCAAGAUAAAGGGAAGGGAGAUCAGUGUGUUCAUUUAUGCUUCUUUGUUCCAAGUCCAAACUUAGGUCACUAAAAAAAACCUCCAUUGAAUAUCAACUCCGUCAUGCCAUAAAUCGCCUUAGCGACGAAGGAGGUCCAACCACUACCAAACCUACAUCACUUGAACCGUCUCUCUACCCCCUCUCUCUCUCUCUCUCUCUCUCUCUCUCUCUCUCGCUCUCGCUCUCUUAAUAUAAUAUUACUUUUUCCUAAAUCCUCCCUCAAAGUUCAAAUCGAAGAAGAAAAUGUAUGAACCCUAACUUCUCAGAUCCAAAUUAAACGUGAACUAUAACUAAUUUCAACCUCAGAACUUAGGGCUAAGGCUUAUCUAUGUCAAUUCUAUCAUCUGGUAAUAACAAAAAUAGACGAAAUCAAGAGAGAUGAGAUCCUACCUUCGAAGCGGUGAAUUGCUUCGUUCAAGGUUGAAAAGUUUGAAGAGGAAGAUGAUAAGAAAUCCAUAGGCGCUUCGAAUACGGUUUGUUGUUUGCUUGAUAAGAUAGGGCUUGGUGUAUGGAACUUGGGUGCUUGGAGGAUCUAAGUCAAGGCAUGGCAAAGUGAAAGCUUGGUGGGAUGAAGCUUGGUCAUGGCAUGGACUUGAAGAAACUUAACAUACUUGAAGAACAUGAAGAAUCAACCAUGACACAAGGCUUGAAGAUAUUUGGAACUGCUUGGAAAUAGGUAUAGGGUAGAGGUGGGACUGUGGUCAACUGUCUGACCAAAAGUUAACAAUUGACCAAAAAGUCAACUGUAGGUCAAAUAUCAAUUUUCCUUGUAAUUUCCAUUUUUGAUACCUUUGUAAUGUAUUUGCACACUUGAAUGAAGGCUUUUGAAUUUUGUAACUUGUAACUUGUUUUCCAAGUAAUCCAACUUUGCCUUCAUUUUCAA
Lathyrus oleraceus (garden pea) is the source of this 953-nucleotide long non-coding RNA. RefSeq lists it as uncharacterized. The transcript is spliced from 2 exons. NCBI's taxonomy places the organism in Eukaryota, Viridiplantae, Streptophyta, Magnoliopsida, Fabales, Fabaceae. The record is from RefSeq and is a predicted model, not a curated record.